Molecule: non-coding RNA, 259 nt
Organism: Pelobates cultripes (western spadefoot toad)
Lineage: Eukaryota; Metazoa; Chordata; Amphibia; Anura; Pelobatidae
Source: the annotation of a GenBank genome assembly
CUGUUGUGUGUUUUUUAUAGGGCAGGGCAGCUGUAACCAACACCUCCAAUCUCAUCUCAUUGAUUGGACUCCAGUUGGCUGACAUCUCACUCCAAUUAGCUCUUGGAGAUGUCAUUAGUCUAGGGGUUCACAUACUUUUUCCACCUGCACUGUGAAUGUUUACAUGGUGUGUUCAAUGAAGACAUGGCAACAUUUCAUUCUUUGUGUGUUAUUAGUUUAAGCAGACUGUGAUUGUCUAUUGUUGUGACUUAGAUGAUGA